RNAcentral lists this ribosomal RNA (677 nucleotides) under uncultured Propionibacterium sp. Its description in RNAcentral is "bacterial SSU rRNA". It matches the Rfam family "Bacterial small subunit ribosomal RNA", at positions 74 to 764 of the family's 1533-position model. Lineage: Bacteria; Bacillati; Actinomycetota; Actinomycetes; Propionibacteriales; Propionibacteriaceae. The record is from RNAcentral.
CCUGCUUUUGUGGGGUGCUCGAGUGGCGAACGGGUGAGUAACACGUGAGUAACCUGCCCUUGACUUUGGGAUAACUUCAGGAAACUGGGGCUAAUACCGGAUAGGAGCUCCUGCUGCAUGGUGGGGGUUGGAAAGUUUCGGCGGUUGGGGAUGGACUCGCGGCUUAUCAGCUUGUUGGUGGGGUAGUGGCUUACCAAGGCUUUGACGGGUAGCCGGCCUGAGAGGGUGACCGGCCACAUUGGGACUGAGAUACGGCCCAGACUCCUACGGGAGGCAGCAGUGGGGAAUAUUGCACAAUGGGCGGAAGCCUGAUGCAGCAACGCCGCGUGCGGGAUGACGGCCUUCGGGUUGUAAACCGCUUUCGCCUGUGACGAAGCGUGAGUGACGGUAAUGGGUAAAGAAGCACCGGCUAACUACGUGCCAGCAGCCGCGGUGAUACGUAGGGUGCGAGCGUUGUCCGGAUUUAUUGGGCGUAAAGGGCUCGUAGGUGGUUGAUCGCGUCGGAAGUGUAAUCUUGGGGCUUAACCCUGAGCGUGCUUUCGAUACGGGUUGACUUGAGGAAGGUAGGGGAGAAUGGAAUUCCUGGUGGAGCGGUGGAAUGCGCAGAUAUCAGGAGGAACACCAGUGGCGAAGGCGGUUCUCUGGGCCUUUCCUGACGCUGAGGAGCGAAAGCGUGG